This 373-nucleotide ribosomal RNA is filed under the name uncultured organism. Its description in RNAcentral is "partial 16S ribosomal RNA". It matches the Rfam family "Bacterial small subunit ribosomal RNA", at positions 527 to 897 of the family's 1533-position model. The record is from RNAcentral.
GGAGGGUGCAAGCGUUAUCCGGAAUUAUUGGGUUUAAAGGGUUGCGUAGGCGGGAUGAUAAGUCAGUGGUGAAAUCUUACAGCUUAACUGUAAAACUGCCAUUGAUACUAUCGUUCUUGAAUACAAUUGAAGUGGGCGGAAUGUGUCAUGUAGCGGUGAAAUGCUUAGAUAUGACACAGAACACCUAUUGCGAAGGCAGCUCACUAAGUUUGUUAUUGACGCUGAGGCACGAAAGCGUGGGGAGCGAACAGGAUUAGAUACCCUGGUAGUCCACGCCCGUAAACGAUGAUUACUCGGUAUUGGCGAUACACUGUCAGUACCCAAGCGAAAGUUUUUAAGUAAUCCCACCUGGGAAGUACGUCGGCAACGAUGA